RNAcentral lists this transfer RNA (25 nucleotides) under Prestonia portobellensis. RNAcentral's name for it is "partial tRNA-His". The record is from RNAcentral. Lineage: Eukaryota; Viridiplantae; Streptophyta; Magnoliopsida; Gentianales; Apocynaceae.
GGCGGAGAGCCAACGAUAAGAACGG